This 362-nucleotide ribosomal RNA is filed under the name Acanthogonyleptes singularis. RNAcentral's name for it is "partial small subunit ribosomal RNA". The record is from RNAcentral. Lineage: Eukaryota; Metazoa; Arthropoda; Arachnida; Opiliones; Gonyleptidae.
AUACCCUAGUAUGCAAUAGAUUAAAAAUUAGUAUAGUCGAAAAUUAAUAAUUUUGGCGGUUAAUUUUUUUUUAGAGGAGCUUGUUAUAAAUAGAAUUGGCUCUUUAAAUUUUAGUAUUAACAUAAUUUAUUCAUCUCCGUUAUCAAAAUUAAUUUAAUAAAUAUUUUUAAUAUAUCAGGUCAAGAUGUAGUUUUUAUUAAGUGUAAUUAGCUAUAUUUAUGAAAUGAAUAAAUAGCAUAAAUAUUGUAUAUUAAAUUUGAAUUGAAUUUAAUUGUAAUAAUAAUUAGAAAAUUAUUUUGAAUGGAAUAAAUUAAUGUACAUAUUGCCCGUCACUUCUAUAAUGAAUAGAAUAAGUCGUAACA